Molecule: ribosomal RNA, 253 nt
Filed under: uncultured bacterium
Lineage: Bacteria
Description: partial 16S ribosomal RNA
Rfam family: Bacterial small subunit ribosomal RNA
Source: RNAcentral
UACAGAGGUCUCAAGCGUUGUUCGGAUUCAUUGGGCGUAAAGGGUGUGUAGGUGGCGCGCUAAGUCGGGUGUGAAAUUUCGGAGCUUAACUCCGAAACUGCAUUCGAUACUGGCGUGCUUGAGGACUGGAGAGGAGACUGGAAUUCCUGGUGUAGCGGUGGAAUGCGCAGAUAUCAGGAGGAACACCAAUAGCGAAGGCAGCUCGCUGGGACGGUACUGACGCUAAGGCGCGAAAGCGUGGGGAGCGAACAGG